CAAUUUAUGCUGCCCAUAAACAGGCAAAAGCUUGCCUCAUUUCAAGACUAAGCUGUGAGCGAGCUGGGACAAGGUUCAACGUCCGGGGAACAAAUGAUGACGGUCAUGUUGCCAACUUUGUAGAGACAGAGCAGGUUAUAUACUUAGAUGACUGUGUCUCCUCCUUCAUACAAAUCCGAGGAUCUGUUCCGUUGUUCUGGGAGCAACCAGGGUUGCAAGUGGGAUCUCAUCGUGUUCGAAUGUCAAGGGGAUUUGAAGCCAAUGCGCCUGCCUUUGACAGGCAUUUCCGAACCCUUAAGGACUUAUAUGGUAAACAAAUAGUAGUAAAUCUGCUUGGAUCUAAGGAGGGUGAGCAUAUGCUGAGCAAGGCCUUCCAGAGUCACUUGAAAGCCUCUGAACACGCUUCUGAUAUCCACAUGG
Molecule: long non-coding RNA, 420 nt
Filed under: Rattus norvegicus (Norway rat)
Lineage: Eukaryota; Metazoa; Chordata; Mammalia; Rodentia; Muridae
Description: long non-coding RNA NONRATT006860
Source: RNAcentral